GGACUGUAGGCUGCAACUCGCCUACACGAAGCUGGAAUCGCUAGUAAUCGCGGAUCAGCACGCCGCGGUGAAUACGUUCCCGGGCCUUGUACACACCGCCCGUCACACCAUGGGAGUCGGAAAUGCCCGAAGUCAGUGACCUAACCGAAAGGGAGGAGCUGCCGAAGGUGGAGCCGGUAACUGGGUGAAGUCGUAACAAGGUAGC
Molecule: ribosomal RNA, 205 nt
Filed under: uncultured bacterium
Lineage: Bacteria
Description: partial 16S ribosomal RNA
Rfam family: Bacterial small subunit ribosomal RNA
Source: RNAcentral